Molecule: long non-coding RNA, 1022 nt
Organism: Vicia villosa (hairy vetch)
Lineage: Eukaryota; Viridiplantae; Streptophyta; Magnoliopsida; Fabales; Fabaceae
Exons: 4
Source: RefSeq, a predicted model, not a curated record
GCGCCUCUCUUCUUCUUUUCUCUCAUAUUCACGUUUCUGAUAAAAAAACAACAACAGUAGCUUCUCUUUCUUGAUGUGAACAACAAUUGCUCUUGGUUCUCCUUUCUCGGUGAGCUCUCCUUGUAGCAACAACGACAAACUAAUGUUCUCUCUCUGUGCUACCUCUCUCGUGGAGAACAGUGACAACAACAAUUUCUCAGGGUGCUUUUUGGUUCUCUCAUGUUCAAGUGAUUUUCGUUUUAACAGGGAAAUAAGUUUAACAGCAACAAAUUACAAUAUUUAGAGAAAGAGUUGAAUCGACUUACCUACGGCAAGGAGAUUUUUGCCGGUGAUUGUUGAGCUUCACAAUAACUUGUUGCUGGAAGCGUCGGUGUUGAAAUUGCAGGUGAUGUGUGUAUGAGGUGUAGACACGGGGCUGCAACGUUGAAGGCUUUUGAUGAAAGUGACCACCACCUCUUUGGAUAUUAGGGAGCCUUGAAGAUGGAACUUCAAGUUGUUGGAAGCUUGAAGAUGAAGAUCUUCAAGUGAGGUAUGAAGAACUACCUCUCCCUUCUUUGUAACUAUGGAACUUUGUAACUUGAAAAUUAUGAAAAGAGAGUGAAGUGAGAAAGCUAGUAGUAUAGUAGCUUUUUUUUUAACUUCAAGGAGAGAAUUUCCUAUUUAUAGGCAAAGUUAAGGAUGUGUUUGGAUGAUAAUAAACUUGAUUGGCAAGUUAUAAUCAUUGCAAGCAUAUUCCUCAUGACAUGUGCAAAUAUAUAUUCUCAUGACAUAAGCCAAACAAAAAAUCUCUCUUUGGUCCUUUUUUGUCUUGAUUUAAUCUUUUUUUUUUGAAUUAUUGAACUUUUGCUAAUCUCACCCCUUUUUGUUUCUUUUUCAUGUUGCAUGAGGACUUUGAAGAAAGCAUGAAGAAAUUUGAUUUUGAAGAAUGAAGACUUUGAAGAUUGAAGGAUUCAAGAAAGUCUUUGAAGCUUUUUUUUCUUUUUUCUUGUAAUUCCAAUUCAUUUCACCUUAGAAUUGUAUGA